This 1140-nucleotide ribosomal RNA is filed under the name uncultured fungus. RNAcentral's name for it is "eukaryotic LSU rRNA". The stretch from base 512 to 1140 matches the Rfam family "Eukaryotic large subunit ribosomal RNA", at positions 1 to 649 of the family's 3401-position model. Lineage: Eukaryota; Fungi. The record is from RNAcentral.
AAGUCGUAACAAGGUUUCCGUAGGUGAACCUGCGGAAGGAUCAUUACAGAGUUCAUGCCCUCACGGGUAGAUCUCCCACCCUUGAAUAUUAUACCUUAGUUGCUUUGGCAGGCCGUGGAAACACUACGGGCUCCGGCUUGUACGUGCCUGCCAGAGGAAAACAAACUCUGUUUUUAGUGAUGUCUGAGUACUAUAUAAUAGUUAAAACUUUCAACAACGGAUCUCUUGGUUCUGGCAUCGAUGAAGAACGCAGCGAAAUGCGAUAAGUAAUGUGAAUUGCAGAAUUCAGUGAAUCAUCGAAUCUUUGAACGCACAUUGCGCCCCGUGGUAUUCCGCGGGGCAUGCCUGUUCGAGCGUCAUUACAACCCAUCAAGCUCACGCUUGGUCUUGGGGUUUGCGGUCUCGCAUCCCUUAAACACAGUGGCGGUGCCAUUGAGCUCUGAGCGUAGUAAUUUUUUCUCGCUAUAGGGUCUCGGUGGUUACUUGCCAACAACCCCCCAUUCUAUCAGUUUGACCUCGGAUCAGGUAGGGAUACCCGCUGAACUUAAGCAUAUCAAUAAGCGGAGGAAAAGAAACCAACAGGGAUUACCUCAGUAACGGCGAGUGAAGCGGUAACAGCUCAAAUUUGAAAUCUGCCGCAAGGCCGAGUUGUAAUUUGUAGAAGAUGCUUUGGGUAUGGCUCCGGUCUAAGUUCGUUGGAACACGACGUCAUAGAGGGUGAGAAUCCCGUAUGUGACUGGGUGCUUUUGCCUAUGUAAAGCUCUUUCGACGAGUCGAGUUGUUUGGGAAUGCAGCUCUAAAUGGGUGGUAUAUUUCAUCUAAAGCUAAAUAUUGGCCAGAGACCGAUAGCGCACAAGUAGAGUGAUCGAAAGAUGAAAAGCACUUUGGAAAGAGAGUUAAACAGUACGUGAAAUUGUUGAAAGGGAAGCGCUUGCAACCAGACUUGCACGCUGUUGAUCAUCCAGGCUUCUGUUUGGUGCACUCGGCAGUGUUCAGGCCAGCAUCGGUUUUGGUGGUGGGAUAAAGGCCUUGGGAAUGUAGCUUCUUUCGGGGAGUGUUAUAGCCCUCGGUGCAAUGCCGCCUACCGGGACCGAGGACCGCGCUUCGGCUAGGAUGCUGGCGUAAUGGUUGUAAGCGACC